Molecule: transfer RNA, 72 nt
Filed under: Phrynosoma platyrhinos (Desert horned lizard)
Lineage: Eukaryota; Metazoa; Chordata; Lepidosauria; Squamata; Phrynosomatidae
Description: tRNA-OTHER
Rfam family: tRNA
About the family: Transfer RNA (tRNA) molecules are approximately 80 nucleotides in length.
Source: RNAcentral
GCCAGCAUGGUGUAGUGGUUUGAACACUGGACUAUGACUCUGGAGGCCAGGGUUCGAAUCCCUGCCCAGUCA